UAGUCCACGCCGUAAACGAUGUCUACUAGCUGUUUGUGAUCUUGUAUCGUGAGUAGCGCAGCUAACGCACUAAGUAGACCGCCUGGGGAGUACGGCCGCAAGGUUAAAACUCAAGUGAAUUGACGGGGGCCCGCACAAGCGGUGGAGCAUGUGGUUUAAUUCGAUGCAACGCGAAGAACCUUACCAUCCCUUGACAUCCAGAGAAUCACCAAGAGAUUGAUGAGUGCCUUUGGGAACUCUGAGACAGGUGCUGCAUGGCUGUCGUCAGCUCGUGUUGUGAAAUGUUGGGUUAAGUCCCGCAACGAGCGCAACCCUUAUCCUUAGUUGCCAGCGUGUAAUGGCGGGAACUCUAAGGAGACUGCCGGUGACAAACCGGGAGGAAGGUGGGGGACGACGGUCAAGUCAUCAUGGCCCUUACGCCCAGGGGCUACACACGUGCUACAAUGGAGGGUACAACGGGUAG
This 463-nucleotide ribosomal RNA is filed under the name uncultured bacterium. RNAcentral describes it as "bacterial SSU rRNA". It matches the Rfam family "Bacterial small subunit ribosomal RNA", at positions 791 to 1249 of the family's 1533-position model. The record is from RNAcentral.